CUGUGUGUUCCUAAAAAGCAAGGAGGAAUGGGAUUUCGUGAUAUCCACUAUUUUAAUUUGGCGUUACUCACCAAACAGGCAUGGUGUUUGUUGGAUAAUCCUGAUUCCUUGUGCGCUUCUAUCCUACGGGCAAAUUAUUACCCCCAUGGUUAUCUAUUAAAUGCGAAGUUAAAGAAAGGCUCUUCCUUUACAUGGAAAAGUAUCAUGGCUGGCACAAAUACAUGA
Molecule: ribosomal RNA, 225 nt
Filed under: Triticum aestivum (bread wheat)
Lineage: Eukaryota; Viridiplantae; Streptophyta; Magnoliopsida; Poales; Poaceae
Description: partial small subunit ribosomal RNA
Source: RNAcentral